Molecule: small RNA, 57 nt
Filed under: Salix viminalis (osier)
Lineage: Eukaryota; Viridiplantae; Streptophyta; Magnoliopsida; Malpighiales; Salicaceae
Source: RNAcentral
AAUAUUCGUGUAAAAAAGUAAAUUCAUAGACAUACAAGGAAAACCUACGUGCAUAAG